RNA transcript from Sciurus carolinensis (gray squirrel), 5857 nucleotides. It is a transcript of the gene named acyl-CoA synthetase short chain family member 3, with no coding region annotated. The transcript has 18 exons. The record is from RefSeq and is a predicted model, not a curated record. Lineage: Eukaryota; Metazoa; Chordata; Mammalia; Rodentia; Sciuridae.
CAGUCUGCGGGGGUGGGGGCUGCUGGGGGCGGAUGAAGCCGUCUUGGCUGCAAUGUCGCAAAGUCACGGGCGCCGGGGGGUUUGGGGGGCCCCUGCCGGGGUCCUCUUCGGCCCGCGGAGCCGGUGCAGCCCGGAGGGCUUUGGUGGCCCCGGGUGCGCGGGGCGGUCUCGGGGGCCUGGGCUGUCGGGCGCUGACCUCCGGCGGCGGCGAGUACAAGACCCAUUUUGCGGCCUCGGUGGCCGAUCCGGAGAGGUUCUGGGGCAAAGCCGCUGAGCAGAUCAGCUGGUACAAACCCUGGACCAAAACGCUAGAGAACAGAUACCCUCCUUCCACCAGUUGGUUUGUGGAAGGAAUGCUUAACAUUUGUUACAAUGCCAUCGAUCGUCAUAUUGAAAAUGGUAAAGGGGAUAAGAUUGCUAUCAUCUAUGACAGUCCUGUUACAAAUACUAAAGCAACUAUAACCUACAAAGAAGUACUGGAGCAGGUCUCUAAACUGGCUGGUGUUUUGGUUAAGUAUGGAAUCAAAAAAGGUGACACUGUGGUCAUCUACAUGCCCAUGAUCCCACAAGCAAUAUAUACUAUGCUGGCAUGCGCAAGGAUAGGAGCCAUCCAUAGUCUCAUAUUCGGUGGAUUUGCAUCUAAAGAAUUAAGCAGUCGCAUUGAUCAUGCAAAACCCAAGGUGGUUGUUACAGCAUCAUUUGGCAUUGAACCUGGAAGGAAGGUAGAGUACAUACCUCUUCUAGAAGAAGCACUAAGAAUAGGUCAACAUACACCAGACAAAGUUCUCAUUUAUAAUCGCCCGAAUAUGGAGACAGUUCCUUUGAUGCCAGGUCGUGAUCUUGAUUGGGAGGAAGAAAUGGCGAAAGCCCAAUCACAUGACUGUGUUCCUGUUCUUUCGGAACAUCCUCUAUAUAUUCUAUACACAUCUGGAACAACUGGGUUACCUAAGGGUGUGGUGAGACCCACUGGAGGAUAUGCAGUAAUGCUAAACUGGACAAUGUCUUCAAUAUAUGGCCUUAAACCUGGAGAGGUGUGGUGGGCAGCUUCCGACUUAGGCUGGGUUGUUGGACAUUCCUAUAUCUGUUACGGACCUCUCCUACAUGGGAACACAACAGUUUUAUAUGAGGGGAAGCCUGUGGGAACACCAGAUGCUGGUGCUUAUUUCCGUGUGCUUGCAGAGCAUGGAGUGGCUGCCUUGUUUACAGCGCCGACUGCAAUUAGAGCAAUCCGUCAACAGGACCCUGGGGCAGCCUUGGGGAAGCAGUACUCUCUGACAAGGUUCAAAACAUUAUUUGUGGCUGGAGAACGAUGUGAUGUGGAGACACUGGAAUGGUCCAAAAGGGUCUUCAGAGUACCUGUCCUAGACCAUUGGUGGCAAACUGAAACUGGAUCCCCAAUUACAGCAUCAUGCAUUGGAUUAGGUAACUCUAAAACACCUCCUCCAGGACAAGCAGGAAAAUGUGUUCCAGGAUACAAUGUUAUGAUUUUGGAUGACAACAUGCAAAAACUGAAGGCUCGAUGUUUAGGAAAUAUUGUGGUAAAGUUGCCAUUACCACCUGGGGCUUUUUCAGGACUCUGGAAGAAUCAGGAAGCAUUCAAGCAUUUAUACUUUGAAAAAUUUCCUGGCUACUACGACACCAUGGAUGCUGGCUACAUGGAUGAGGAAGGCUAUUUGUAUGUUAUGUCUCGAGUUGAUGAUGUCAUAAAUGUUGCAGGUCACAGAAUUUCUGCAGGUGCCAUUGAAGAGUCUCUCCUGUCCCAUGGUACUGUGGCAGACUGCGCUGUGGUUGGCAAGGAAGACCCUCUGAAAGGUCAUGUUCCCUUAGCACUCUGCGUAUUGAAGAAAGACAUAAACGCAACAGAGGAACAAAUUUUGGAAGAAAUUGUGAAACAUGUUAGACAGAGCAUUGGCCCUGUGGCUGCUUUUCGAAACGCAGUGUUUGUCAAACAGUUACCCAAAACCAGAUCUGGAAAAAUUCCACGAUCCACUCUAUCUGCCCUUGUCAAUGGCAAGCCGUAUAAGGUAACUCCUACAAUCGAAGACCCCAGCAUUUUUGGGCACAUAGAAGAAGUGCUGAAGCAGGCUUCGUGACUUUUUUUUUUUCUUUCAAUUUUGAGUUAAUGUUCUAGUUGGCAUUAUUUGAGCUAUUUUCCAGAAAUGAAUAUUUAAAUAGAAAUUACUUUCCAGCUGAAAUGUGAGUUGUAAAGCUUGGUCUAAAGUGGUCUAAGGAAGACUAGUGAAAGAUCCGUACUUUCUUGAUUUUUCAAAUUUGAUAUUGUUGUCAGUUGCCUGUAAAAUGACUCAUUAGGUGCUGUCUAGCACUUUAAGAAAAUCUAUUACAUGAUUUUUUUAAAAUUAUACUCCCUCAAAACACAUUAACCGAAAAUGACUCUCAUAUAGAUACUUCCUGAAGUUAAAAAUCUACAGCUUUGAUCUAUAUUCAAAUAUUCAAGUCAGAAAGCAAUUAAAAAUUUUCUCUUGUAGAAAUUUUGAAUAUGUCCUAAUAUUCUUCAGAUGCUCACGUUGUCUUAAAUGAAAUAGAUGAACUGGGAGUUUUAUGUAGUCAUUCAGACAGAAGAAUUGUAUUUUGGUAGGAGGACCUGUGUAAGCCACAUGUGAGAGGGAAGGCAGGUGGCCAGGGUUAUUGCUCUGCCUUCAGCUCAUCUGUCACUUUGGCAAGAGAAGUCACAGGUCUGGCAGAGAACCUGGAGUCAUUGGAUCCCAUCUUUUCAUCAUGGAGAUGUGGCCUCCUGAGAGGUCACCCUCGUGUCUCAGGUGCUUAGUUGACUGUAUACUUCUUAAUGACUCCAGCUUCCUAUGGAAUCAAGGAAACAGUAUACAAAUGGAGUAGAGUGGCAAGAAAAACUUUUAAGGAAGAACUCUAAAGGUUUUUUUUUUUCACUAGGCUAUAGAUCAAGGGACUUUCCAGGGAGUUUCUAUAACAUCAGUGCUCUUUUGAGUGGAAAUGAGCCUCAGCCUCUGCCGUGGUUGACAUUCACUUCCAGUGUGGGCUGGCAGUUCAAGUGAUUCAAAUAAGGCAGCGUAUCAGCUCCAUGUUGGGCCCAAGAGACCAGCCAAUUGUGGAUGGAGCUUUUGGGUCAAGGCAGUGAAUUAACAGCACAAGGUGAGCUGCUUGUACCUACUACUGCUUCCUGUCCUGCCCCUGGGCACACAUUUCAUUCUAAAUAUUGCUUUCAAAAGUUUUUCUUUUUUUCAAAAUAUUAAUUCCUUGAAAAUUCUAGAGUAUUCUGAUAUAGCAAUGUUUUAGGUCAAAAUAAUUUGUGAACAUUUGACACUAGGAAAAUAUGGUUUUACUUAUAAAACUAUUUUUCAAUAAAGUACCAUUUUUGUAUGGAUUUGGAAAUAGUUUCAACUGAUAUUUCUCUAAACACAAAUAUUCUGCAUACUAUAUAUAUAAGGUUUUGUGCUGUUUCUGUCCUCCAUUUUAUGUUAAUUUCAUUUGGGGCCUAUCUUACAGGCUCCAUAUACUUAAUAGAAUGCAUAAUUGUUUUCCACAAAUAUAAAUCACUGAUAAAAAGCAACAUACUGAAAGUUCAGUGUUUUCAGUUUCUACUUUUGUUUUAAUACUUCUAAAUCGUUUUCCUCUCUCUGCCACUAUUUGACACUAAGAACUUACUUAAAUCCCCAUCUGCCUACUUUGGCUACCUUAUAUAAAGUAGUCACUUAAAUGUUUAAUUUUUAGGUACCAAAAUCUUAUUAAUAAAAUGCUAGGGGAAUCAGUAUAAAAUUCUUUUAAAAAGUAGAAAACAGUAUGGUUAACCACGGGUCAAUGUGUAAUAACUGAAUGACGGGCCUCCAAUAGACAGACCUUCCAACCAGAUGGGCGGUGAUAGGAAACACCAAAUUAAGAGUUAAAAAGAAGAUUCCUUUCCCCUCUCUAUCAGUUCAAAGGGGUUAUCUCACGUCUGUACUGCUAGGCCAUACCAAAAGGCACAGUGUAUAUUUACUAGUCUAUGUAGGUUUCUUUUUUUUUUUUUUUUUUUUUUCUUUUGCUGGUUUGUCAGCCAAAGGGAAACUACUCACAGCAGGUCAGUGCUGCCUCCUUUGAGUGGCUUGUCAACAUGAGUAUGUGCGAACAGUGGAGUUGUCUAACCUCUGCAGUCUUGAUGAAGCAACUGCAAAUGGAGAAAAGGGCUUUAGAGGUUCUUGGAUGAUUGAGUACAAGAUUUCAGAUGAGAAAGAUUUCUUUUCUCUGCCUAAAGGGGUACUGAACAUAUUAGUAGACCUUCUUUGUUUCAGAUGUAAGCCACUCACAUUCCUCUUCUCUAGACCCAGUUGCUAAUAGAAUUUUAUCCCAAUGUAAUUUAUUGAACUUUCCAGUGGUUAUGUGUUCUUCCUUGGAAGAAAUCUUAACAAGAGAGUUCCCCAGGGUGCUUCUGUUUUUGUUGUCAAGAUGGCUUAGAGAAUUCAGAAUGGUAAACUGUGUUUUUCACCAAGUAUUGAGGAACUUCUGUACUAAUUUUAAUCAUGUUAAAUUCCUCAUGAAUUUUGCUAACAUGUUCCACAAUAUCAACAAGACAUAAGAAAUGUAAAGACAAUAGUUUAUGUUGAAACUAAUUUUAAGAACCAUAAAAGUUAUGACCUUGAAGAGAAAUAAUGAUUCUCAGUGGUUAAUAAUGAGAUAAUAUUUCUAUAAUAAUAUUUUUCUUUUAUUUAACAAACAAAUCAUUUUGUGACUACAAUUUUACUGUUGUCUCUCCAGAAUGACUGUUUUCCUUUGUGAAUUAUAUAUCAAAAGUCUAAUGUCCACAGAAGGAAAUUCUAUUGGGACAUUACUGUUGACUUUGUGUUUAAUUCUCUUCUCAUGACUGUGCUGGUUUAUUUAAGACCUUCUGCCUUGGUCAGAGGUAAAAAUUUUGAUGAGUCUGGAUUUCUAAGAAGAUAAAACUUGCAGUAUUUAAACAUGCAAGGUGUCGGUGAGGUUAAUUGUCAUUUACUAUGUCCAAAUCCAAUCUCUACCUUAAACAAAUUAUUUGCUUUGGGAAUGGAAGAGUAAAGAAAUGUAAGUCAUGCAGAUGUCUCUUAUUCUUCCUAGAUGUGGACAUUAGCCAAUGUCGAUCUUUUUAGGAUGUUUUAAAUCAUUUUAAAAAUAUGAAUAAAGUGCCAUGAUUUCAUGCAUUAGCAGUUUACAAAAGGGUCUGGCUUUUGAUGAAAGCAAAGUAAAUUUCAAGCAGAGCAAACCAACUCAAGAAAAGAAUUAAUUCCACAAAGCUACGCAAGGUUAGAGAAUUACACUUGCUUUUGCUUUAACAAGCAUUUAAAUUUACAAGCCAAAAUGCAAAGCUACUGUACCAUCCGUGGCCAUUUUCCUCGACUGCCCCGAUGUUGUGGUCAACCUAAAUCCAGCUGGCAGUGUUUCUGAGGAUCCAGGCAUCAUGCUGAUUCCAUGUACUUCACGAGGAGGAAACUGCCUUCUCCAGGUUGAGCCACGUCUAAAAUUCUUGUCAUCAGUCUGCAAGUACAGAGUUAGAAUAUGACGUUAUGCAAACAAUGUUAUUAGUCCAGGUACAUGAAGCUGGGUGCCUAGAAACUCAAAAAAGAUUAUUUGUAUUCAGUCCAUGGAGUAAACAAAUGGAACAGUUAUGGUUCAUCUCCAGAGUUCUAAGAUUCCAAAACAAAGAGUUAGGAGAGUUGAAGCAGAAAUAUAUUUCUAUGACUGUUCAUGUGAUUGCAAAUCUAAGGUUUGGCAUCUUUAAAGUAAACAUCUUUGAAAACCUAAAAUAAAAUCCCCAAGUAUUUUUCCAAAAGGAAUAUUGGAUAUAUUUUGUUACACUUCAUGCCAACUAGUUUAUGGAAUGAGAUAAUCUGUUUAAUUGAAUAAAUUGUUAAUCUGA